UACGUAGGGUGCAAGCGUUGUCCGGAAUUAUUGGGCGUAAAGAGCUCGUAGGCGGUCUGUCGCGUCGGCUGUGAAAACCUGGGGCUUAACUCCGGGCCUGCAGCCGAUCCGGGCAGACUAGAGUUCGGCAGGGGAGACUGGAAUUCCUGGUGUAGCGGUGAAAUGCGCAGAUAUCAGGAGGAACACCGGUGGCGAAGGCGGGUCUCUGGGCCGAUACUGACGCUGAGGAGCGAAAGCGUGGGGAGCAAACAGG
RNAcentral lists this ribosomal RNA (253 nucleotides) under uncultured bacterium. RNAcentral describes it as "partial 16S ribosomal RNA". It matches the Rfam family "Bacterial small subunit ribosomal RNA", at positions 524 to 776 of the family's 1533-position model. The record is from RNAcentral.